This 73-nucleotide transfer RNA is filed under the name Sarcophilus harrisii (Tasmanian devil). It matches the Rfam family "tRNA". From Rfam's summary of the family: Transfer RNA (tRNA) molecules are approximately 80 nucleotides in length. Their secondary structure includes four short double-helical elements and three loops (D, anti-codon, and T loops). Lineage: Eukaryota; Metazoa; Chordata; Mammalia; Dasyuromorphia; Dasyuridae. The record is from Rfam by way of RNAcentral.
AACAAGGUGGUACAAUGGCUAGAACAAUGGACUUAAAAUCCAAAAGAGCUGAGUUCACAUCUUGGCUCAGAUA